RNAcentral lists this ribosomal RNA (519 nucleotides) under uncultured bacterium. RNAcentral describes it as "bacterial SSU rRNA". It matches the Rfam family "Bacterial small subunit ribosomal RNA", at positions 21 to 518 of the family's 1533-position model. The record is from RNAcentral.
GGCUCAGAACGAACGCUGGCGGCGUGCUUAACACAUGCAAGUCGAACGCGAAAGGGGACUUCGGUCCUGAGUAAAGUGGCGCACGGGUGAGUAACGCGUAGAUAACCUGUCUUCAUGUCUGGAAUAAUACGCCGAAAGGGGUACUAAUACCGGAUAUUCUUGCUUUUCAUAAGUUAUGCAAGCAAAGGUGGCCUCUGCAUAUGCUACUGCAUGAAGAGGGGUCUGCGUACCAUUAGCUAGUAGGUGGGGUAAUGGCCUACCUAGGCGACGAUGGUUAGCGGGUCUGAGAGGAUGAUCCGCCACACUGGCACUGGAACACGGGCCAGACUCCUACGGGAGGCGGCAGUGAGGAAUAUUGCGCAAUGGGGGAAACCCUGACGCAGCGACGCCGCGUGAGUGAAGGAAGGCCUUCGGGUCGUAAAGCUCUGUCAAGAGGAAAGAAGUGUACAAUGGCUAAUACCUGUUGUAUUUGACGGUACCUCUAAAGGAAGCACCGGCUAACUCCGUGCCAGCAGCGGC